This 408-nucleotide ribosomal RNA is filed under the name Triticum aestivum (bread wheat). Its description in RNAcentral is "partial small subunit ribosomal RNA". Lineage: Eukaryota; Viridiplantae; Streptophyta; Magnoliopsida; Poales; Poaceae. The record is from RNAcentral.
AUGAGGAACUUGUACACUCUCGCGGAGAAGAAGCAUGUCGUGGGCACCGAAGGCGUCAAGUUCAAGAAAGACCAUAUGUGUGGUGUCUGUGAAGCUAGGAAGAUGACUAGGGCUAAGCAUCCCUCGAAUACUAUCAUGACUACAUCUCAACCCUUCAAGCUGCUUCACAUGGACUUAUUCGGCCCUACUCACUAUUCUACUCUUACUACCACGGCUUGCCUCUAUGGUUUUGUUAUUGUUGAUGAUUACUCAAGAUAUACAUGGGUGCAUAUAAUUCUCUAUAAGACUGAAGUGCAGGAUGUCUUCAGAUGGUUCGCCAAUCAUGCCAUGACGAACUAUGGCGUCAAGAUCAAGCACAUCAGAAGUGACAAUGACACAGAAUUCAAGAACAUCGGCCUCGACACUUAA